This 253-nucleotide ribosomal RNA is filed under the name uncultured bacterium. Its description in RNAcentral is "partial 16S ribosomal RNA". It matches the Rfam family "Bacterial small subunit ribosomal RNA", at positions 524 to 776 of the family's 1533-position model. The record is from RNAcentral.
UACGUAGGCAGCAAGCGUUGUUCGGAAUUACUGGGCGUAAAGAGUGUGUAGGCGGUGCUCCAAGUCUGGUGUGAAAUCUCCCGGCUCAACUGGGAGGAUGCGCUAGAAACUGGAAUGCUAGAGGAUGGGAGAGGUAAGCGGAAUUCCUGGUGUAGCGGUGAAAUGCGUAGAUAUCAGGAGGAACACCUGUGGUGUAGACAGCUUACUGGACCAUUUCUGACGCUGAGACACGAAAGCGUGGGUAGCAAACAGG